UGGGGAAUAUUGGACAAUGGGGGGAACCCUGAUCCAGCCAUGCCGCGUGUGUGAAGAAGGCCUUAUGGUUGUAAAGCACUUUAAGCGAGGAGGAGGGUACUGGUAUUAAUACUACCAGGUACUGGACGUUACUCGCAGAAUAAGCACCGGCUAACUCUGUGCCAGCAGCCGCGGUAAUACAGAGGGUGCGAGCGUUAAUCGGAUUUACUGGGCGUAAAGCGUGCGUAGGCGGCUAAUUGAGUCGGAUGUAAAAUCCCCGAGCUUAACUUGGGAAUUGCAUUCGAUACUGGUUAGCUAGAGUGUGGGAGAGGAUGGUAGAAUUCCAGGUGUAGCGGUGAAAUGCGUAGAGAUCUGGAGGAAUACCGAUGGCGAAGGCAGCCAUCUGGCCUAACACUGACGCUGAGGUACGAAAGCAUGGGGAGCAAACAGG
This 430-nucleotide ribosomal RNA is filed under the name Pseudomonadota bacterium. RNAcentral's name for it is "Proteobacteria bacterium partial 16S ribosomal RNA". It matches the Rfam family "Bacterial small subunit ribosomal RNA", at positions 355 to 776 of the family's 1533-position model. Lineage: Bacteria; Pseudomonadati; Pseudomonadota. The record is from RNAcentral.